RNAcentral lists this ribosomal RNA (510 nucleotides) under uncultured bacterium. RNAcentral's name for it is "partial 16S ribosomal RNA". It matches the Rfam family "Bacterial small subunit ribosomal RNA", at positions 28 to 507 of the family's 1533-position model. The record is from RNAcentral.
GACGAACGCUGGCGGCGUGCUUAACACAUGCAAGUCGAACGAAGAGCGAUGGAAGCUUGCUUCUCUCAAUCUUAGUGGCGAACGGGUGAGUAACGCGUAAUCAACCUGCCCUUCAGAGGGGGACAACAGUUGGAAACGACUGCUAAUACCGCAUACGAUCUAAUCUCGGCAUCGAGGAUAGAUGAAAGGUGGCCUCUACAUGUAAGCUAUCACUGAAGGAGGGGAUUGCGUCUGAUUAGCUAGUUGGAGGGGUAACGGCCCACCAAGGCGAUGAUCAGUAGCCGGUCUGAGAGGAUGAACGGCCACAUUGGGACUGAGACACGGCCCAGACUCCUACGGGAGGCAGCAGUGGGGAAUCUUCCGCAAUGGACGAAAGUCUGACGGAGCAACGCCGCGUGAGUGAUGACGGCCUUCGGGUUGUAAAGCUCUGUUAAUCGGGACGAAAGGCCUUCUUGCGAACAGUUAGAAGGAUUGACGGUACCGGAAUAGAAAGCCACGGCUAACUACGUG